RNAcentral lists this ribosomal RNA (253 nucleotides) under uncultured bacterium. Its description in RNAcentral is "partial 16S ribosomal RNA". It matches the Rfam family "Bacterial small subunit ribosomal RNA", at positions 524 to 776 of the family's 1533-position model. The record is from RNAcentral.
UACGAAGGGUGCAAGCGUUAAUCGGAAUUACUGGGCGUAAAGCGUGCGUAGGCGGUUUCUUAAGUCUGCUGUGAAAGCCCCGGGCUCAACCUGGGAAUGGCGGUGGAUACUGAGAAGCUGGAGUACGGUAGAGGAAGGUGGAAUUCCCGGUGUAGCGGUGAAAUGCGUAGAGAUCGGGAGGAACACCAGUGGCGAAGGCGACUACCUGGCCUGUUCUUGACGCUGAGGCGCGAAAGCUAGGGGAGCAAACGGG